This is a transfer RNA of Cavia porcellus (domestic guinea pig), 64 nucleotides long. It matches the Rfam family "tRNA". From Rfam's summary of the family: Transfer RNA (tRNA) molecules are approximately 80 nucleotides in length. NCBI's taxonomy places the organism in Eukaryota, Metazoa, Chordata, Mammalia, Rodentia, Caviidae. The record is from Rfam.
GGGGAUUUAGCUCAGCGGCAUAAGCACCUGCCUUGCAAGCAGGUGGUCGUGAGCUCAAUCCCGG